CCUGCCUUUCAGAGGGGGACAACAGUUGGAAACGACUGCUAAUACCGCAUAACGCAUUAGUAUCGCAUGGUACGGAUGCCAAAGAUUUAUCGCUGAAAGAUGGCCUCGCGUCUGAUUAGCUGGUUGGUGAGGUAACGGCCCACCAAGGCGACGAUCAGUAGCCGGACUGAGAGGUUGACCGGCCACAUUGGGACUGAGAUACGGCCCAGACUCCUACGGGAGGCAGCAGUGGGGAAUAUUGGGCAAUGGGCGCAAGCCUGACCCAGCAACGCCGCGUGAAGGAAGAAGGCUUUCGGGUUGUAAACUUCUUUUGUCAGGGACGAGGAGAAGACGGUACCUGACGAAUAAGCCACGGCUAACUACGUGCCAGCAGCCGCGGUAAUACGUAGGUGGCAAGCGUUGUCCGGAUUUACUGGGUGUAAAGGGCGUGUAGCCGGGUUGGCAAGUCAGAUGUGAAAUCUAUGGGCUUAACUCAUAAACUGCAUUUGAAACUGUUGAUCUUGAGUAUCGGAGAGGCAAUCGGAAUUCUAGUGUAGCGGUGAAAUGCGUAGAUAUUAGGAGGAACACCAGUGGGCGARGCGGAUUGCUGGACGACAACUGACGGUGAGGCGCGAAAGCGUGGGGAGCAAACAGGAUUAGAUACCCUGGUAGUCCACGCUGUAAACGAUGAAUACUAGGUGUGCGGGGACUGACCCCCUGCGUGCCGCAGCUAACGCAAUAAGUAUUCCACCUGGGGAGUACGAUCGCAAGGUUGAAACUCAAAAGGAAUUGACGGGGGGCCCGCACAAGCGGUGGAUUAUGUGGUUUAAUUCGAAGCAACGCGAAGAACCUUACCAGGGCUUGACAUCCUGCUAACGAGGUAGAGAUACGUCAGGUGCCCUUCGGGGAAAGCAGAGACAGGUGGUGCAUGGUUGUCGUCAGCUCGUGUCGUGAGAUGUUGGGUUAAGUCCCGCAACGAGCGCAACCCUUAUUGUUAGUUGCUACGCAAGAGCACUCUAGCGAGACUGCCGUUGACAAAACGGAGGAAGGUGGGGACGACGUCAAAUCAUCAUGCCCCUUAUGUCCUGGGCUACACACGUAAUACAAUGGCGGUCAACAGAGGGAUGCAAAGCCGCAAGGCAGAGCGAACCCCGAAAAGCCGUCCCAGUUCAGAUUGUGGGCUGCAACCCGCCCACAUGAAGUCGGAAUCGCUAGUAAUCGC
This 1201-nucleotide ribosomal RNA is filed under the name uncultured bacterium. RNAcentral's name for it is "bacterial SSU rRNA". It matches the Rfam family "Bacterial small subunit ribosomal RNA", at positions 125 to 1345 of the family's 1533-position model. The record is from RNAcentral.